UUUGUGGGGAAUGUUGUCUGGCUCGAGGACCCUUUUUUUUGGCAUCAAUCUACUAUAUAGCUUCAACACAUAAUUCCAUAUAGUUUAAUGGAUUGAUCAUGUGUUAGUGUUGUCGGACCAGGCUUCAUUCCCCCCAAU
Molecule: microRNA precursor, 138 nt
Filed under: Cephalotus follicularis
Lineage: Eukaryota; Viridiplantae; Streptophyta; Magnoliopsida; Oxalidales; Cephalotaceae
Description: mir-166 microRNA precursor family
Rfam family: mir-166 microRNA precursor family
About the family: This family represents the plant microRNA (miRNA) precursor mir-166. Animal miRNAs are transcribed as ~70nt precursors and subsequently processed by the Dicer enzyme to give a ~22nt product.
Source: Rfam by way of RNAcentral